UUAGUUACUUGGUGAGGAAAUGGCUCACCCGACUUUGAUUGGUACGGGAACUGACAGGUUAAUCCCCCACACUGGCACUGAGAUACGGGCCAUACUCCUACGGGAGGCCUCCCUCCGGAAUAUUGGGCGAUGGAGGCAACUCUGACCCGCCCAUGCCGCGUGUACGAAGAAGGCGUUAUGCGUUUUAAACUGCUUUUAUAUUUUAAGAAAUAAUCAUUGCGAGGAAACCUGACGGUACUAUAUGAAUUAUCUCCGGGUAACUCCCUGCCUUCAGACGCAGUAAUACGGAGGGUGCCAGCGUUGCCGGGAUUUAUUGGGGUUUAAGGGUGCGUANGCGGUUUAUUAGAUCGGUGGGGACUUACCCUCGCUCCUCGAUUGCAAUGCCCUUGAUACUGGUGAACUUGAGUGGGAUUGAAGUCGUUGGGUUGAAUAGUGUAUCUUAGAAAUGCAUAGAAAUAAUCCUGAACAACGAUUGCGUCUGCAAGUCACUAGAUCUCAACUGACGCUGACGCGCGAAGCUGUGGGGAUCAAAUACGAUUAGAUACCAUGGUAUUCCACACUG
RNAcentral lists this ribosomal RNA (562 nucleotides) under uncultured bacterium. RNAcentral describes it as "bacterial SSU rRNA". It matches the Rfam family "Bacterial small subunit ribosomal RNA", at positions 241 to 802 of the family's 1533-position model. The record is from RNAcentral.